Molecule: ribosomal RNA, 314 nt
Filed under: Iphinoe serrata
Lineage: Eukaryota; Metazoa; Arthropoda; Malacostraca; Cumacea; Bodotriidae
Description: partial large subunit ribosomal RNA
Rfam family: Eukaryotic large subunit ribosomal RNA
Source: RNAcentral
GAAACACGGAUCAAGGAGUCUAACAGGUGCGCUAGUCCUCGGGCUGUCUAAACCCAUAAGGGCGAAGCAAAAGCAAAAUGAAACGUAUCUCCGGAUGCGAGAGAGCCGAUCCGGUCCUCCUUCGGGGGUGACCCGGCGCAGGCUCGGGGUCCGUCAUCGACGGGCGGUGCUUGACACCUCCCCCGUCCGGCGGGCACCCAGAGCGUGCACGUUAGUACCCGAAAGAUGGUGAUCUAUGCUUGGCAAGAGCGAAGCCAGAGGAAACUCUGGUGGAGGUUCGUAGCGAUUCUGACGUGCAAAUCGAUCGUCAGAGC